RNAcentral lists this ribosomal RNA (221 nucleotides) under Clostridioides sp. ZZV14-6104. RNAcentral's name for it is "partial 16S ribosomal RNA". It matches the Rfam family "Bacterial small subunit ribosomal RNA", at positions 279 to 517 of the family's 1533-position model. The record is from RNAcentral. Lineage: Bacteria; Bacillati; Bacillota; Clostridia; Peptostreptococcales; Peptostreptococcaceae.
AUCAGUAGCCGACCUGAGAGGGUGAUCGGCAACAUUGGAACUUAGACCCGGUCCAAACUCCUACGCUACGCAUCAGUGGUGAAUAUUGCACAAGGGGCUACACCAUGAUGCAGCAACGCCGCGUGCGUGAUGAAGGCUUUCGAGUCGUAAAACUCUGUCCUCAAGGAAGAUAAUGACGGUACUUGAGGAGGAAGCCCCGGCUAACUACGUGCCAGCAGCCG